AUUGAACGCUGGCGGCGUGCUUAACACAUGCAAGUCGAUCGGUAACAGGUGUAGCAAUACAUGCUGACGAGAGGCGGACGGGUGAGUAAUGCUUGGGAAUCCGCCUAUUAGUGGGGGACGAACCCGGGGAAACGUCGGGCUAAUACCGCAUACGCUCUACGGAGGAAAGCCGGGGACCGCAAGGCCUGGCGCUAAUAGAUGAGCCCAAGUCGGAUUAGCUAGUUGGUAGGGUAACGGCCACCAAGGCGACAAUCCGUAGCUGGUCUGAGAGGACGACCAGCCACACCGGAACUGAGACACGGUCCGGACUCCUACGGGAGGCAGCAGUGGGGAAGUAUUGGACAAUGGGGCGAACCCUGAUCCAGCGACGCCGCGUGGGUGAAGAAGGCCUGCGGGUUGUAAAGCCCUUUCGGUGGGGGAAGAAAGUACUCGACCCAAUACGUCGGGACCUUGACGUAAACCCACUAAAGAAGCACCGGCUAACUCUGUGCCAGCCGCCGCGGUAAU
RNAcentral lists this ribosomal RNA (507 nucleotides) under uncultured bacterium. RNAcentral describes it as "bacterial SSU rRNA". It matches the Rfam family "Bacterial small subunit ribosomal RNA", at positions 29 to 524 of the family's 1533-position model. The record is from RNAcentral.